UGGCGGACGGGUGAGUAAUGUCUGGGAAACUGCCUGAUGGAGGGGGAUAACUACUGGAAACGGUAGCUAAUACCGCAUAACGUCGCAAGACCAAAGAGGGGGACCUUCGGGCCUCUUGCCAUCGGAUGUGUCCAGAUGGGAUUAGCUAGUAGGUGGGGUAACGGCUCACCUAGGCGACGAUCCCUAGCUGGUCUGAGAGGAUGACCAGCCACACUGGAACUGAGACACGGUCCAG
Molecule: ribosomal RNA, 235 nt
Filed under: uncultured bacterium
Lineage: Bacteria
Description: partial 16S ribosomal RNA
Rfam family: Bacterial small subunit ribosomal RNA
Source: RNAcentral